RNAcentral lists this ribosomal RNA (506 nucleotides) under uncultured bacterium. RNAcentral's name for it is "partial 16S ribosomal RNA". It matches the Rfam family "Bacterial small subunit ribosomal RNA", at positions 28 to 523 of the family's 1533-position model. The record is from RNAcentral.
GAUGAACGCUAGCUACAGGCUUAACACAUGCAAGUCGAGGGGUAACAAGAGGAAAGCUUGCUUUUCUUGUUGGCGACCGGCGCACGGGUGAGUAACGCGUAUCCAACCUGCCUAUAACUAGGGAAUAACCUUGCGAAAGUAAGACUAAUACCCUAUGAUUUCCUUUGAUGACAUCAGAUUAGGAAUAAAGAUUUAUCGGUUAUAGAUGGGGAUGCGUCUGAUUAGAUUGUUGGCGGGGUAACGUCCCACCAAGGCAACGAUCAGUAGGGGUUCUGAGAGGAAGGUCCCCCACAUUGGAACUGAGACACGGUCCAAACUCCUACGGGAGGCAGCAGCGAGGAAUAUUGGUCAAUGGGCGGAAGCCUGAACCAGCCAAGUAGCGUGCAGGAUGACGGCCCUAUGGGUUGUAAACUGCUUUUAUACAGGAAUAAAGUUAGCCACGUGUGGUUAUUUGUAGGUACUGUAUGAAUAAGGACCGGCUAAUUCCGUGCCAGCAGCCGCCGUAA